This 403-nucleotide ribosomal RNA is filed under the name bacterium. RNAcentral's name for it is "partial 16S ribosomal RNA". It matches the Rfam family "Bacterial small subunit ribosomal RNA", at positions 355 to 776 of the family's 1533-position model. The record is from RNAcentral.
UGGGGAAUAUUGCACAAUGGGGGAAACCCUGAUGCAGCGACGCCGCGUGAACGAAGAAGGUAUUCGUAUCGUAAAGUUCUGUCCUAUGGGAAGAUAAUGACAGUACCAUAGAAGAAAGCUCCGGCUAAAUACGUGCCAGCAGCCGCGGUAAUACGUAUGGAGCGAGCGUUGUCCGGAAUUAUUGGGCGUAAAGGGUACGCAGGCGGUUUAAUAAGUCGAAUGUUAAAGAUCGGGGCUCAACCCCGCAAAGCAUUGGAAGCUGAUAAACUUGAGUAGUGUAGAGGAAAGUGGAAUUCCUAGUGUAGUGGUGAAAUACGUAGAUAUUAGGAGGAAUACCAGUAGCGAAGGCGACUUUCUGGACACAAACUGACGCUGAGGUACGAAAGCGUGGGGAGCAAACAGG